AAGAAGGUAGCAUAGGGGUUGUGCAGUUAGCUUGAAACUAACUUAUGGUGGUUCGAGUCCAUCCCGUCUUG
Molecule: transfer RNA, 71 nt
Filed under: Diplometopon zarudnyi
Lineage: Eukaryota; Metazoa; Chordata; Lepidosauria; Squamata; Trogonophidae
Description: tRNA-Ser
Rfam family: tRNA
About the family: Transfer RNA (tRNA) molecules are approximately 80 nucleotides in length. Their secondary structure includes four short double-helical elements and three loops (D, anti-codon, and T loops).
Source: RNAcentral